This 253-nucleotide ribosomal RNA is filed under the name uncultured bacterium. RNAcentral describes it as "partial 16S ribosomal RNA". It matches the Rfam family "Bacterial small subunit ribosomal RNA", at positions 524 to 776 of the family's 1533-position model. The record is from RNAcentral.
UACGUAGGGGGCAAGCGUUGUUCGGAAUUACUGGGCGUAAAGGGCGCGUAGGCGGCAUGGCAAGUCGGGAGUGAAAGCCCUGGGCUCAACCCGGGAACUGCUUUCGAAACUGCCAAGCUAGAGUGCGGAAGAGGCAACUGGAAUUCCCAGUGUAGCGGUGAAAUGCGUAGAUAUUGGGAAGAACACCUGAGGCGAAGGCGGGUUGCUGGGCCGACACUGACGCUGAGGCUCGAAAGCGUGGGGAGCAAACAGG